GUCGAGAAUCUUUCACAAUGGGGGCAACCCUGAUGGAGCGACGCCGCGUGGAGGAUAAGGUCUUCGGAUUGUAAACUCCUGUCAUGCGUGAACAAGGUUGCUUGGUUAAUACCUGGGCAAAUUGAUGGUAACGCAAGAGGAAGAGACGGCUAACUCUGUGCCAGCAGCCGCGGUAAUACAGAGGUCUCAAGCGUUGUUCGGAAUCACUGGGCGUAAAGGGUGCGUAGGUGGCGUGGUAAGUCAGAUGUGAAAGCCCGGGGCUCAACCUCGGAACUGCAUCCGAUACUGGCAUGCUAGAGUACUGGAGAGGUGACUAGAAUUCUCGGUGUAGCGGUGAAAUGCGUAGAUAUCGAGAGGAAUACCAAAGGCGUAGGCAGGUCACUGGACAGUUACUGACACUGGGGCACGAAGGCCAGGGGAGCGAACGGGAUUAGAUACCCCGGUAGUCC
This 449-nucleotide ribosomal RNA is filed under the name uncultured bacterium. Its description in RNAcentral is "partial 16S ribosomal RNA". It matches the Rfam family "Bacterial small subunit ribosomal RNA", at positions 354 to 796 of the family's 1533-position model. The record is from RNAcentral.